GUCCACCACACCAUGCUGUCCUUCCAUGGAGCUCAAACAGCACAUGGAGCUCCACCAUGCUGUCCUAGCAUGGUGCUCCAACAGCACAUGGAGCUCCAACUGCCAAACACACAAUGCUGUCUUUCAACAGAGCUCCAGCUGCACACUACACAAUGCUGUCCUUCAAUGGAUCUCAAGCAGCGCACCACACAUUGCUGUUUUUUCAUGGAGCUCCAGAUGCCAACCACACAAAUCUGUCUUUCCACGAAGCUCCAGCUGUCCACCACACCAUGCUGUCCUUCCAUGGAGCUCAAACAGCACAUGGAGCUCCACCAUGCUGUCCUAGCAUGGUGCUCCAACAGCACAUGGAGCUCCAACUGCCAAACACACAAUGCUGUCUUUCAACAGAGCUCCAGCUGCACACUACACAAUGCUGUCCUUCAAUGGAUCUCAAGCAGCGCACCACACAAUGCUGUCUUUCCAUGGAACUCCAGCUGCACACCACACAAUGCUGUCCGUCAAUGGAUCUCAAGCAGCGCACCGCUAACUGCUGUCCUUUCAUGGAGCUCCAGCUGCCCACCACACCAUGCUAUCCUUCCAUGGAGCUACAGCUGCCCACCAAACAAUGAUGUCC
Molecule: non-coding RNA, 613 nt
Organism: Pelobates cultripes (western spadefoot toad)
Lineage: Eukaryota; Metazoa; Chordata; Amphibia; Anura; Pelobatidae
Source: the annotation of a GenBank genome assembly